Molecule: ribosomal RNA, 274 nt
Filed under: uncultured bacterium
Lineage: Bacteria
Description: partial 16S ribosomal RNA
Rfam family: Bacterial small subunit ribosomal RNA
Source: RNAcentral
AUACGGAGGGUGCAAGCGUUACUCGGAAUCACUGGGCGUAAAGCGCGCGCAGGCGGCUAUUUAAGUUGGAUGUGAAAGCCUACGGCUCAACCGUAGUACUGCAUCCAAAACUAUUUAGCUAGAGUGUGGGAGAGGAAGAUGGAAUUAGUUGUGUAGGGGUAAAAUCCGUAGAGAUAACUAGGAAUACCAAAAGCGAAGGCAAUCUUCUGGAACACUACUGACGCUGAGGCGCGAAAGCGUGGGGAGCAAACGGGAUUAGAAACCCUAGUAGUCC